UGCUAUUGGGAUUCGAUUAAGCCAUGCGAGUCGAGAGGGUUCGGCCCUCGGCAGACUGCUCAGUAACACGUGGAUAACCUACCCUUAGGUGGAGGAUAAUCUCGGGAAACUGAGAAUAAUACUCCAUAGAUCUAGGAUGCUGGAAUGCAUCUAGAUCAAAAGCUCCGGCGCCUAAGGAUGGGUCUGCGGACUAUCAGGUUGUAGUCAGGGUAAAGACCUGACUAGCCUACGACGGAUAUGGGUUGUGAGAGCAAUAGCCCAGAGACGAUAUCUGAGACACGAUAUCGGGCCCUACGGGGCGCAGCAGGCGCGAAAUCUUCACAAUGUGCGAAAGCACGAUGAGGGAAUCCCAAGUGCUAGCACGUAAGUGUUAGCUAUUUCUUAGUCUAAAAAACUGAGAGAGUAAGAGCUGGGUAAGACGGGUGCCAGCCGCCGCGGUAAUACCUGCAGCUCAAGUGGUGGCCGCUAUUAUUGGGCCUAAAACGUCCGUAGCCGGUUUAGUAAAUGCUUGGGUAAAUUGUGUAGCUUAACUAUACGAAUACCGGGUAGACUGCUAAACUUGGGACCGGGAGAGGCUAGAGGUACUCCUAGGGUAGAGGUGAAAUUCUGUAAUCCUAGGGGGACCACCAGUGGCGAAGGCGUCUAGCUAGAACGGGUCUGACGGUGAGGGACGAAGCCCUGGGGCGCAAACCGGAUUAGAUACCCGGGUAGUCCAGGGUGUAAACGCUGCUUGCUUGAUGUUAGUUGGGCUCCGAGCCCAACUAGUGUCGGAGAGAAGUUGUUAAGCAAGCUGCCUGGGAAGUACGGUCGCAAGACUGAAACUUAAAGGAAUUGGCGGGGAGCACAGCAACGGGUGGAGCGUGCGGUUU
Molecule: ribosomal RNA, 869 nt
Filed under: uncultured archaeon
Lineage: Archaea
Description: bacterial SSU rRNA
Rfam family: Archaeal small subunit ribosomal RNA
Source: RNAcentral